CCUUCGGGGAACGAUAACGGCGUCGAGCGGCGGACGGGUGAGUAAUGCCUAGGAAAUUGCCUUGAUGUGGGGGAUAACCAUUGGAAACGAUGGCUAAUACCGCAUNNNGCCUACGGGCCAAAGAGGGGGACCUUCGGGCCUCUCGCGUCAAGAUAUGCCUAGGUGGGAUUAGCUAGUUGGUGAGGUAAUGGCUCACCAAGGCGACGAUCCCUAGCUGGUCUGAGAGGAUGAUCAGCCACACUGGAACUGAGACACGGUCCAGACUCCUACGGGAGGCAGCAGUGGGGAAUAUUGCACAAUGGGCGCAAGCCUGAUGCAGCCAUGCCGCGUGUAUGAAGAAGGCCUUCGGGUUGUAAAGUACUUUCAGCAGUGAGGAAGGGGGUGUCGUUAAUAGCGGCAUCUCUUGACGUUAGCUGCAGAAGAAGCACCGGCUAACUCCGUGCCAGCAGCCGCGGUAAUACGGAGGGUGCGAGCGUUAAUCGGAAUUACUGGGCGUAAAGCGCAUGCAGGUGGUUUGUUAAGUCAGAUGUGAAAGCCCGGGGCUCAACCUCGGAACUGCAUUUGAAACUGGCAAACUAGAGUACUGUAGAGGGGGGUAGAAUUUCAGGUGUAGCGGUGAAAUGCGUAGAGAUCUGAANGAAUACCAGUGNCGAAGGCGGCCCCCUGGNCAGAUACUGACACUCAGAUGCGANGCGUGGGGAGCAAACAGGAUUA
Molecule: ribosomal RNA, 714 nt
Filed under: Vibrio sp. MR08-88
Lineage: Bacteria; Pseudomonadati; Pseudomonadota; Gammaproteobacteria; Vibrionales; Vibrionaceae
Description: bacterial SSU rRNA
Rfam family: Bacterial small subunit ribosomal RNA
Source: RNAcentral